AUCGACACUUUGAACGCAUAUUGCAGGCUUGUGCUUGUCACAGGCCUACCCUUGUAUCAGGGUCGGUUGAACGACAUCCAUCAGGAGGGCUCUGCUCUCCUGCACUGUGUCUCUUUGGCUGGGCCUGGCCCCGGUUCAAGACACGAAGGUGAGCCCGGACAGGUUGACUUGCUUCACAACUCUAGGGUUUCAUUCCCGGGUUGGUGGCGAGCUGUCCGGCUCUGAAGCAUGUGAGGAGCGACUGGUCCUCUUUCAUUGCUUACCUUUUUAUUUCGACCUGACAUCAAGGGAGGC
This 294-nucleotide unclassified non-coding RNA is filed under the name Pontella princeps. RNAcentral describes it as "partial contains 5.8S rRNA, ITS2 and 28S rRNA". Lineage: Eukaryota; Metazoa; Arthropoda; Copepoda; Calanoida; Pontellidae. The record is from RNAcentral.